UAAAAUUUCGUGGCAAAUUUAUAAUGUAGAUAUCUUGGAUUUAAUAAAAUUUCUUCCAGUUCUAUUAGGGCUUUUACUGACCUUAUCAGUUUAACUAACUUGGAAUUGCCUGGAAAUCGGCCAACUGUUGUUUACCGCAAUUCGUUCUCGAGUCUUGUUCAGCUGCGAAAAUUGUUAGAUUAAUUGUGCCGCAUGUAAAAAGAAAAUAAACUUAAACGUAAAAAAUUGUGGUUUGGUCGUACUGCCCAUGAAAGUGCUAUAGAGAGAGAGGCGGCUUGACUAUUAUAGGAUUGGAUCGAUAGCCGAAUGCUCUUUUCAACAGCUAUCAGCGUUAACUUUCUUAGAUUUAACUGGAAACGUAAUUACCGAGAUGGGGCCUGAUGUUUUCAAUCCUUCUCUUUUAUACUUUGAGGCUAUCUCUCGACCUGCAUUUUUUUUGUUGCUCACGAAUUCGUUAUGACAAAGAUCUCUUUCAGGAUGAGAUGUGCACCCAUAAUGGAAAAAUCAGAGCCUUUGAAACAUUUUUAAAGGUAUUAUGUGAUCCUCCAAGCUUUGCAUA
Zophobas morio is the source of this 559-nucleotide long non-coding RNA. RefSeq lists it as uncharacterized. NCBI's taxonomy places the organism in Eukaryota, Metazoa, Arthropoda, Insecta, Coleoptera, Tenebrionidae. The transcript has 5 exons. The record is from RefSeq and is a predicted model, not a curated record.